Dunckerocampus dactyliophorus (ringed pipefish) is the source of this 1566-nucleotide long non-coding RNA. RefSeq lists it as uncharacterized. Lineage: Eukaryota; Metazoa; Chordata; Actinopteri; Syngnathiformes; Syngnathidae. The record is from RefSeq and is a predicted model, not a curated record. The transcript is spliced from 5 exons.
GAACUAACUACGCAGUUGUUAAUAGAGCAGAACAAGCAGACGUGUGACAGUCAGGCGGACCUGACUUUCCUACCAUAAAGAAUGCUGUCAACAUGCGUUAAUCCAAGGCCAACCCAAGAUGGGCUGAGGACUGAGGACAAAACACUAUUAAAGAUGCUGUCAAUGUGUGUUCAUCCAAGGCAAACCCAAGGUGGAAGAGCGGAGGACAAAACACCAUUAAAGAAAGAAGCUGCAAUGCUGGAGAAAGGCAGUCACUUUCCUUGGACGUGUGGUGUCUGCCCAUGGCUCGGCCAUGUCUACAGCCCAUCGAUCCUCCAUUCUACAUCAUCCCAAACCAACUACGGUUCGUGACUCCGCUGCACCUCCCUGUGCGACUCAUCCCUCACCUUUGGUCGCUGACAAGGUCUUCCUGAAGAGGCUCUCCAGGAAGUGGUCGGCGCCUAGGUGGAGUGGUCCCUUUGUGGUGACUACUCGUACCGACAGGGCUGUGCAACUGGAGGGCGAAGGACUUAAGUGGUUUCACUUUUCUUUACUUUGACCUGACACAUCUAUUUAAAUUAAUAUGUCUUCUCAUCGUGGACUGGGUGGUCCCCAGUCCAAGAGGGGUGGGGUGUUAAGUCAUUAGGCAUAUUACAGUAUAUGACCGUAUAAUAAUAAUAUUAUAAAACCAUAUUUAACAUGCAAUUUAAUUCAUCAACACCUGGAUGCUAUAACUUCACUUUAUAUGCCUAUGCGUCUGGAAAGGAUCAGUGUUGGCCAUUCUGUAUAUGUACUGUUGCGUCCACAGUUACCCCUCUACAGACACAAACUGCUAAAGCCGCGAAGGUUAAGGCAAUAAGUGACAGCCGGGUCAUACCAACAGGUCAUACCAACAAUUGGCUUCUCAUGGUUGAGCAGGCGGCCAAUAAGACUUCUUCUGAUUUCGUGGUCUGUAUGGUUCACAGGCCCUUGUUAAAAGUUGUUCCCGCAGUAUUGGAUGACUACUGCUUCAUGCCCGUUAUGAAUUCAACCUCCAUUAAACAAUCCAAGUGUCGCACAUGAGACGAAGUAUAUCCUGUGGGCCCACCAACAGAGCUUAAGCCCUUAUUUGAUAGAACAGUCGCAGCAAAUAAUUUCACUUGUGUUAACAGCUCUACCAGAAAAAAGCAUUUGUUAGGAAGGGUGAAUGACUCUUUAUGUGUUUCGGUCUAUCAAGUGUCUUCAAUCUUUUCUCCCGUCUCUCGAGCCGAUGUGUGGUGGUGGUGCGGAGGAGCAGUACUCUUCGACCGCCUUCCUACUAAAAGCAUGACCUGUUUGUGUGCAUUGGUUGCUCUCAUUCUACCGGUAAAUGUGAUUCCGGCUUCUGUAGAUCAUUUGAUGGACGCGGUCGACUCGGUGGCCCUCCAGCUAGCAGCACACACUCGAAGACGCCGUGACACCUCCACCCCUUGGCUCAACACGACUGAUCCCACUUACGUCGACGCCCUUGGGGUUCCUCGGGGUGUCCCGGAUGAAUACAAACUCGUUAACCAAGUCGCUGCUGGAUUUGAGUCCAUUCUUCCGUGGAUCACUGUUAACAAAAAUGUU